Molecule: transfer RNA, 84 nt
Filed under: uncultured Cytophagales bacterium
Lineage: Bacteria; Pseudomonadati; Bacteroidota; Sphingobacteriia; Sphingobacteriales
Description: tRNA-Tyr-GTA
Rfam family: tRNA
About the family: Transfer RNA (tRNA) molecules are approximately 80 nucleotides in length. Their secondary structure includes four short double-helical elements and three loops (D, anti-codon, and T loops). Further hydrogen bonds mediate the characteristic L-shaped molecular structure. tRNAs have two regions of fundamental functional importance: the anti-codon, which is responsible for specific mRNA codon recognition, and the 3' end, to which the tRNAs corresponding amino acid is attached (by aminoacyl-tRNA synthetases). tRNAs cope with the degeneracy of the genetic code in two manners: having more than one tRNA (with a specific anti-codon) for a particular amino acid; and 'wobble' base-pairing, i.e. permitting non-standard base-pairing at the 3rd anti-codon position.
Source: RNAcentral
UGUGUGAUAGUCCGUAAGUGGAAGCGGGCCGGUCUGUAAAACCGGAGCCUCAGGGCCUUGGAAGUUCGAUUCUUCCUCACACAA